Long non-coding RNA from Sapajus apella (tufted capuchin), 1651 nucleotides. RefSeq lists it as uncharacterized. NCBI's taxonomy places the organism in Eukaryota, Metazoa, Chordata, Mammalia, Primates, Cebidae. The transcript is spliced from 5 exons. The record is from RefSeq and is a predicted model, not a curated record.
GGGGGCGGGGCUUGUGGAAACGGCCCGCCGCAGGGUUUGCAGUCUUGAGAAGCAGCGAAUAUGGCGGAGUGAGGUGUUCCGCUGUGAACUGGCCUCUGGGCCGGGGGUAGGCCAGUCCGGCCAGCCCCCGGGAGGCCGAGUGCAUCUGUUGGACCGUGCGAGGAGAAGAAAAAAAAAGAGAUCGGCCAGAGGAAAGGAACUGAACAUUCUUCCUCCCUGCCUUACCGAGGGAAGUGGUCACCUACACUAAAGCAAAGAUCUAAAUAGAGGUCCAUAAUCUACUGGAAAUUUUAUGCACAAUUACAAAUUUUUGUGGGAAGAAGAAGGUCCAUAACUUCAGAUUCUCAAAAAGGACAGUGUUCCAGAAAAACUUGAGAAUCAGUGCUUCAAGACUUGACAUCUUUUUAAAAAUAAUGCCAGUGCAGAUUCCUUAUCACGGGAAGAAUAUUUUCCUUGACAUUUGAGUGCUUUUAUAUUCAUCUCAAAAACAAAAUUCUGAACUCAGGACUUGGCAAGUGUCUCUACGUUGUCUCCUAGACUGUGUAGUUCUACUUCUUUUACCCAGUUACUUUCUCUGUUUUUAAAAUGUGGAUAUCACUUCUCUAUACAUUAUCUCCAUGAUUUGGAAUGAAAAAGUCUGCUUUUUUUUUGUUCUGCCUCUCAGACUGAACACAGAGGAGCUCCUAGGAUUCCAGUUAUCCUGCCAACUUCUCCACGAAGAAAGAAGAAACUCACCUAGGCAGAGUUUCACUCUUUUGCCCAACCUGGAGUCAGUCUCUCCGCCACCCAGGUUCAAGCGAUUCUCCUGCCUCAGCCUCCUAAGUAGCUGGGAUUACAGGCGCCCACCACCACGUCCGGCCUGAUUUCUUACCCAAGAUACUAGGUGUAGUGUUAGGCUCAAAAGGCUGGGACUCAGGUACUUUUCCUGGUUGGGACUGAACUUUCUCAUCGGAGAAUGAAUGGGCCUCAGAAACAAUGUUCCCAAACUUGUAAUUGGAUCAUUGUAGAUUCAGGAUGUGGAAAAGAAACCUUGAACAAGAAAAAUAGUUACAUUAAGAAAUGGAUUUUCUUUUUUUACCAUAGUAGUUAUUCGUUAUAGAGAACAGACUCUCAUAGAAAACUCUCCUUGCUUCCAAAUCAGCUGAGGACCAUUGUAUGUACUGUCAUGUCUUUACAUAAGAGUGAAACCUUUAUGCUUCUUUGUGAGUAGAGAAUAAAUUUUAAAACUAAUUAGUUGAAAUUAAGGACAGAUAGUAUUGGAACAUCUGUGUGUUUUCCAGAAUGUUUACUCAGGGCCAUGAAUGCUGUGAUGUUGGGACUUAGGGCAGAGUCACCAAAAUUUGAGAGUGAUAGAAAUGGCCCAAAAUGGGAAAUUACUGAGAUUGGUCAAUCAACCCAUUUGAAAUGGGUAAAAAAUACUUUUAGUGAAAUAAUUACAUAUUAUAUGUAAAAUAUAAUUUCUGAGGGCAGCUACAAGUGAUAAAGCUUAGUAGAAAUAACUUUAGUUAAAAGUAACCCAAAUUUUUCUCUAAGUAAUCUACCUACUUCCUGAUGUUCUUAAUAUUUUGGAAUUGUUCAAGACAGUGGAGCCUACAUGUUUGGGUUCCACUGAUAUGUUUAAAAUGUCAUAUCAUAGAGAAUUUGUACCUUC